CUACGGGAUGCAGCAGUCGAGAAUCUUCCGCAAUGCGCGAAAGCGUGACGGAGCAAUGCCGCGUGGUGGAUGAAGGCCUUCGGGUUGUAAACACCUGUCACAUGGGACGAACUUUGACGGUACCAUGAGAGGAAGCCACGGCUAACUACGUGCCAGCAGCCGCGGUAAUACGUAGGUGGCGAGCGUUGUUCGGAUUUAUUGGGCGUAAAGGGUCCGCAGGGGGUUUGUUAAGUCUGAUGUGAAAUCCCGGGGCUCAACCCCGGAACUGCAUUGGAGACUGAUGAACUAGAGUAUCGGAGAGGUAAAUGGAAUUCCUGGUGUAGCGGUGGAAUGCGUAGAUAUCAGGAAGAACACCGAGAGCGAAGGCAAUUUACUGGACGAUUACUGACCCUCAGGGACGAAAGCGUGGGUAGCGAACAGGAUUAGAUACCCUGGUAGUC
RNAcentral lists this ribosomal RNA (440 nucleotides) under uncultured bacterium. RNAcentral's name for it is "partial 16S ribosomal RNA". It matches the Rfam family "Bacterial small subunit ribosomal RNA", at positions 339 to 795 of the family's 1533-position model. The record is from RNAcentral.